GACGAACGCUGGCGGCGUGCUUAACACAUGCAAGUCGAACGGAAAGGCCCUGCUUUUGUGGGGUGCUCGAGUGGCGAACGGGUGAGUAACACGUGAGUAACCUGCCCUUGACUUUGGGAUAACUUCAGGAAACUGGGGCUAAUACCGGAUAGGAGCUCCUGCUGCAUGGUGGGGGUUGGAAAGUUUCGGCGGUUGGGGAUGGACUCGCGGCUUAUCAGCUUGUUGGUGGGGUAGUGGCUUACCAAGGCUUUGACGGGUAGCCGGCCUGAGAGGGUGACCGGCCACAUUGGGACUGAGAUACGGCCCAGACUCCUACGGGAGGCAGCAGUGGGGAAUAUUGCAAAAUGGGCGGAAGCCUGAUGCAGCAACGCCGCGUGCGGGAUGACGGCCUUCGGGUUGUAAACCGCUUUCGCCUGUGACGAAGCGUGAGUGACGGUAAUGGGAAAAGAAGCACCGGCUAACUACGUG
RNAcentral lists this ribosomal RNA (468 nucleotides) under uncultured bacterium. RNAcentral's name for it is "partial 16S ribosomal RNA". It matches the Rfam family "Bacterial small subunit ribosomal RNA", at positions 28 to 507 of the family's 1533-position model. The record is from RNAcentral.